AGAAACCUGAUUUCUGACAGAAGAUUAAUCCAAAGAGAAUUCUUUUAGCAGCUUAGAGAAGCUUCCUGGCUUUUUACUGAUCUUUUGGGUGAUCUGAGUCCUACCACUAAUUUCUUCCUUUAUGCCAUUUUCAGCUGUUCUUUGUUGCUAUUAGGACACAGUGCAGAUUAAGGAUUAGUUGCUUCUGUCUGCAGUUCAGACCUCAGGCAUACCAAAUAUAUUGGGUCACACCUCUCUCUGCUGUAGAGGAACGUGAUUUCUCAUGCCAAUGAAAAACAAAGUUGUUGACAAUUAAAGGAAGAGAAAACCAAGAAAUUUCAUUGCCAAAGAGAGAUAAGUUGAAGAAGGAUUAAGAAAAAAUUGGCCCCAGGCAAGCCUGCUGCUGAACAUGGCUUCCUGAAGGAUCAUCUGCCUUCCAGUUUGGGAUCUGGUCCACACUCACCUGUGCUUCUGGGGGCUAGGAAACAGCCCAGAUCCCUUGACUACUUGUUGUCAUUGUGACGAGCACCACAACUGUACUGAUGGAUAUCUUUGUGGGACUCACUCUUACUCACCAUCACUGGAGUUAAUUUAUCAGAAUGCCGAUUUAUCAGAAAUUAAACUCCAAGUAAGACUGCUUCACUUAGCAUUCUGCAAAUCUGAGAAUUCCGUUGUCAUCGUCUUCUUUCUCUGUAAUUUCUCCUGAAUCCCAGGCACUCCAUCCUGGAGUUCCAUUAGAAAGAAAUCUGCAUUUUUAUGCUAUCUAGAAAAAUCAAUGGUUUAGCAAAAAAAAAAAAAAAAAAAUCUCUGAAAAUUCACACGCACAAAAAAGUUCUCUUCUAAACUUCAGUUGACAAAAUGAAUGUAGCGUGCUUGGAGCUUGCUCUAUUUGAUAGAGGAGAAAUUUUUGUUUUCUGUAUUAUUUCUGGUAUGUAUGAAUUAUCAGAAUAUUUCUGGUUGAGUUGAACCUUGCUCUUACUUUUCCUCUUUUGUUUUUUUCCCUCUAUAGUGGCUAUAUUAUUAUUAUUAUUAUUACAGUUUUGAUGUUUCUUUUGU
RNAcentral lists this long non-coding RNA (1035 nucleotides) under Phasianus colchicus (ring-necked pheasant). RNAcentral's name for it is "lncRNA (ENSPCLG00000001322.1)". Lineage: Eukaryota; Metazoa; Chordata; Aves; Galliformes; Phasianidae. The record is from RNAcentral.